GACGAACGCUGGCGGCGUGCUUAACACAUGCAAGUCGAACGGAAAGGCCCUGCUUUUGUGGGGUGCUCGAGUGGCGAACGGGUGAGUAACACGUGAGUAACCUGCCCUUGACUUUGGGAUAACUUCAGGAAACUGGGGCUAAUACCGGAUAGGAGCUCCUGCUGCAUGGUGGGGGUUGGAAAGUUUCGGCGGUUGGGGAUGGACUCGCGGCUUAUCAGCUUGUUGGUGGGGUAGUGGCUUACCAAGGCUUUGACGGGUAGCCGGCCUGAGAGGGUGACCGGCCACAUUGGGACUGAGAUACGGACCAGACUCCUACGGGAGGCAGCAGUGGGGAAUAUUGCACAAUGGGCGGAAGCCUGAUGCAGAAACGCCGCGUGCGGGAUGACGGCCUUCGGGUUGUAAACAGCUUUCGCCUGUGACGAAGCGUGCGUGACGGUAAUGGGUAAAGAAGCACCGGCUAACUACGUG
RNAcentral lists this ribosomal RNA (468 nucleotides) under uncultured bacterium. RNAcentral describes it as "partial 16S ribosomal RNA". It matches the Rfam family "Bacterial small subunit ribosomal RNA", at positions 28 to 507 of the family's 1533-position model. The record is from RNAcentral.